AUUGAACGCUGGCGGCAGGCCUAACACAUGCAAGUCGAACGGUAGCACAGAGAGCUUGCUCUCGGGUGACGAGUGGCGGACGGGUGAGUAACGUCUGGGAAACUGCCCGAUGGAGGGGGAUAACUACUGGAAACGGUAGCUAAUACCGCAUAACGUCGCAAGACCAAAGUGGGGGACCUUCGGGCCUCACACCAUCGGAUGUGCCCAGAUGGGAUUAGCUAGUAGGUGGGGUAAUGGCUCACCUAGGCGACGAUCCCUAGCUGGUCUGAGAGGAUGACCAGCCACACUGGAACUGAGACACGGUCCAGACUCCUACGGGAGGCAGCAGUGGGGAAUAUUGCACAAUGGGCGCAAGCCUGAUGCAGCCAUGCCGCGUGUAUGAAGAAGGCCUUCGGGUUGUAAAGUACUUUCAGCGAGGAGGAAGGUGUUGUGGUUAAUAACCACAGCAAUUGACGUUACUCGCAGAAGAAGCACCGGCUAACUCCGUGCCAGCCGCCGCAGUAA
This 504-nucleotide ribosomal RNA is filed under the name uncultured bacterium. RNAcentral's name for it is "partial 16S ribosomal RNA". It matches the Rfam family "Bacterial small subunit ribosomal RNA", at positions 30 to 523 of the family's 1533-position model. The record is from RNAcentral.